Macrobrachium nipponense is the source of this 882-nucleotide long non-coding RNA. RefSeq lists it as uncharacterized. Lineage: Eukaryota; Metazoa; Arthropoda; Malacostraca; Decapoda; Palaemonidae. The record is from RefSeq and is a predicted model, not a curated record. The transcript is spliced from 3 exons.
UGGUGUGCAUGGUCGAAUCGCUGUCAAACGACGACUAUGUAUUUUCGAUUAUUUUCUGGUAUCUGAAGGUGAAAUUUGUGAAUGCACGUGGUCCUUGUAAUUCAAGAAUGUAUUACGGAAUUAUAUAAUACGGAAAUAUCGGCCUGGUUCGUCAAGAAGACUGAAAUCUGGAGAUGUUCGACAGGUGUUUUGCUGUGAAUAAUUGAGGGAAUGAUGUGACGUAUAUAUAAGCAGGGAAUGAAAUGGGUCACCUGAAGGCCUGUGCAUUCUUGGGUCAUCGAGGUGUUGACGACUUCCAUUUCAGCUUGUCAUCUCGUCUGGAGGUAUGCCCACCAAGGUAUGGUCAUAUACACCAGAAGAGGAAGAAGAAGAAGAAGAAGAAGAAGAAGAAAAAGAAGGAGGAAUCUGAGGAGGUAAGUUUCGAUUUCAUAAGACCUCGUCUCCCUCAAAGAAACCUUAGAUGUCCGGAGGCAAAGUCGUUUUCCAAGGAACAUCUGGGUUGGAGGAGCUUUCCUCGGCAUUGCGUCAGUGAAAGUAAAGCCUUCGGAUUCUUUUUCUUUUUUUCCCCAGUGAUUAUUCAUUAAGGGAAGAUUUAAUUUUUUUCAUUCCUGAAGCUGACUGUUCACUUUUAUUUCUAGAAACUCUCGGUGAAAUAUCGUAUAUUCACCUGAAUUCCAAAAGGUCGUCCGUAAAUAAAUUUGUUACCCUUUCUGUCAAAAAACUGUCAAAAAUUGAGCUGUUCAACUGUACUUCUCUAAAAAAUGCCACUCUGUAAUUUUUAUAGAUUUUUCCCCCACGUUUUCAAAUGAUCAGUUGGUAAUGGUAGACUUCAGCCAAAUUAUUUUCGCCACGUUUUUUGUAUGAGGUUUAAACUGUAAAUUU